Long non-coding RNA from Spinacia oleracea (spinach), 268 nucleotides. RefSeq lists it as uncharacterized. NCBI's taxonomy places the organism in Eukaryota, Viridiplantae, Streptophyta, Magnoliopsida, Caryophyllales, Amaranthaceae. The record is from RefSeq and is a predicted model, not a curated record. The transcript is spliced from 3 exons.
ACCAACCCCACACAGCUCCUCCUUCCCUUCCUCCUCUGCCUUCUCCUAUUUCGUUCCCCUGUAAUAUUGAAAGACCAAAUUUGGUUUCCAGGAACUACUCCCAAAUUUAAUCAGUAAAAUAAAUACCCAUAGUCCAUUUAUUUGACCCAUUAAAGAAAGAAGAGGUCCUUGGAGCUCAAGAAGAACGGCUCAUCGAAAGUAAGGAAAACGAGUGCUAAUAGAGGUUGAGGUACCGAAGAGGACAACGGGAUGGAUUAGUGGUGAGGAC